UACGUAGGGUGCGAGCGUUGUCCGGAAUUAUUGGGCGUAAAGAGCUUGUAGGCGGUCUGUCGCGUCUGCUGUGAAAAUCCGGGGCUCAACCCCGGACUUGCAGUGGGUACGGGCAGACUAGAGUGUGGUAGGGGAGACUGGAAUUCCUGGUGUAGCGGUGGAAUGCGCAGAUAUCAGGAGGAACACCGGUGGCGAAGGCGGGUCUCUGGGCCGAUACUGACGCUGAGGAGCGAAAGCGUGGGGAGCGAACAGG
RNAcentral lists this ribosomal RNA (253 nucleotides) under uncultured bacterium. RNAcentral describes it as "partial 16S ribosomal RNA". It matches the Rfam family "Bacterial small subunit ribosomal RNA", at positions 524 to 776 of the family's 1533-position model. The record is from RNAcentral.